AGCGAACGCUGGCGGCAGGCCUAACACAUGCAAGUCGAACGCCCCUUCGGGGGAGUGGCGGACGGGUGAGUAACGCGUGGGAAUGUGCCCUUUGGUACGGAACAACUGAGGGAAACUUCAGCUAAUACCGUAUGUGCCCUACGGGGGAAAGAUUUAUCGCCAUUGGAGCAGCCCGCGUUGGAUUAGGUAGUUGGUGGGGUAAUGGCCCACCAAGCCGACGAUCCAUAGCUGGUCUGAGAGGAUGAUCAGCCACACUGGGACUGAGACACGGCCCAGACUCCUACGGGAGGCAGCAGUGGGGAAUCUUGCGCAAUGGGCGAAAGACUGACGCAGCCAUGCCGCGUGAAUGAUGAAGGUCUUAGGAUUGUAAAAUUCUUUCACCGGGGAAGAUAAUGACGGUACCCGGAGAAGAAGCCCCGGCUAACUUCGUG
Molecule: ribosomal RNA, 431 nt
Filed under: uncultured bacterium
Lineage: Bacteria
Description: partial 16S ribosomal RNA
Rfam family: Bacterial small subunit ribosomal RNA
Source: RNAcentral